UAAGUUUACAGAGUUGUAGUUAUGUAACUAACAAAGUUCAAGCUAUCAUAUAUAAGAAAACAAACAUAACAAACAUAACAAAAUAACAAUAACAAAAUGACAAAAUAAGCCAUAAAGGCGAUGUCAAACUCGUAGGUUCCUAGGUGAUCACACAAAAUCUUUCAAUUUAGGGUGAACUAUGUAUUUUUUAUUCUUAGUUUUAACGCCUAAUAGGAUUUCGCCGUCGCGGAAAUCGAUUCCUCAUCGAUUUCGCGCGAUUCCUUAGUGAUUACUCGGUCGGCCGCCUUAUUUCAUUGCCUUGCCCGAGGCGAGGCGUUUUGCUGGCGCCUUGGGGUUUUUCCCGCCUAGGCGGACGCCUAAUCGCGCCUUCCAUAACACUGAUUUUAACAAACUGCAAAGUACAAAUUAGUAGGUGAAACAAGCUCCUGGACUAAAAAAAGCCUGCUGAAAAAUAAAUUAACAACGGAUUAGAACAACCUCCUAUCAUUUUUUACACCAUUUACACUAGAACUUAAGAACUAAAAUUAUUUAUAGUGUGAUGCAAAAAUUGAGCUAAAACAAGAUUUCAAGCUAAAAAUCGUUGCUGGAAUUUCAUUAAAAGGGGCAAAAUAAUCAAGCUUUUCAAAUAGGAAGUCAUUUUUUAAAAAAAAUUUAGUUUAUCAAUCCAACUUACAAUAACAAUAUAGUCAAGUUUUUAUAUUAGGCAACCUAUGCAAUGAUAGAAGCAUCACUUUUAUCAAGCAAAAACUAUAGCAGUUCGGAUUAAGGAUUUUACCGUAUAGUGGGCUAUUCUCUUCUCUUUUUUACUUUUGUUUCUCCUGAGCAAUUCGGGCCGGCUUUUCUUUCGUCUUCUCACCUGAAAUUUAACAAAGAAUGGUUAAAAUUUUAUUAUUAGGCUAAAAUUGAGUUUAAAUCAGAAAAUCUAAAACAUAAUCACCUUUUUUACCUGGGUUUCCCUCUUUCUGUUUGUCUCGUCUCCGAUCGAUGAUCACGCCGUCAGCGGCGGGAUCCCCUUUCUUUCCUCUCCACCGGUUC
Molecule: long non-coding RNA, 1035 nt
Filed under: Linum usitatissimum (flax)
Lineage: Eukaryota; Viridiplantae; Streptophyta; Magnoliopsida; Malpighiales; Linaceae
Description: long non-coding RNA (LUSI_LNC007559)
Source: RNAcentral